UGACCUCUAACCUUUUUGGUAAAUUACGUGACGGGAAUCCAUCAUUGCUGGGGAGUGGACGCCCUAAGCAGCAGCAGCAACAGGGCCUGGCCACACACAUCAAAGCAUCUCUGCAAAUUCUCCAAGGAGAAGACAAUGCUCAAGAAGAGCAGGGAGAAGUCACGUCAACAAACCCAAGGCUGCAGGAGAAAGCACCUUGGGCUCUGAGAAAGGUCUGUUUGAGGACCCAGUGAGAAGGCAGCCAUCUGCAGAGAAGACAGAGAGUCCUCAGCAAACUCUGAGUCAGCUGGGACCUUGACCUUGGCAUUCCACCUUCCAGCAUGCUCCUGCCUCCCUGUUUGAGUUCCUCUCCUGACUUCCUUCAGUGGUGAACAGUGAUGUGGACGUGAAAGCUGAAUAAACCCUUCUCUCCCCAA
This is a long non-coding RNA of Meriones unguiculatus (Mongolian gerbil), 416 nucleotides long. RefSeq lists it as uncharacterized. The record is from RefSeq and is a predicted model, not a curated record. The transcript has 3 exons. Lineage: Eukaryota; Metazoa; Chordata; Mammalia; Rodentia; Muridae.